RNAcentral lists this ribosomal RNA (849 nucleotides) under Diplodia corticola. Its description in RNAcentral is "eukaryotic LSU rRNA". It matches the Rfam family "Eukaryotic large subunit ribosomal RNA", at positions 76 to 943 of the family's 3401-position model. The record is from RNAcentral. Lineage: Eukaryota; Fungi; Ascomycota; Dothideomycetes; Botryosphaeriales; Botryosphaeriaceae.
UGCCUUAGUAACGGCGAGUGAAGCGGCAACAGCUCAAAUUUGAAAGCUGGCUCCUUNGGAGUCCGCGUUGUAAUUUGUAGAGGAUGAUUCGGCGAGGGCUCCCGCCUAAGUCCCCUGGAACGGAGCGUCAUAGAGGGUGAGAAUCCCGUAUGUGGUGGGCUGCCUUAGCCAUGUGAAUCUCCUUCGACGAGUCGAGUUGUUUGGGAAUGCAGCUCUAAAUGGGAGGUAAAUUUCUUCUAAAGCUAAAUACCGGCCAGAGACCGAUAGCGCACAAGUAGAGUGAUCGAAAGAUGAAAAGCACUUUGGAAAGAGAGUUAAAAAGUACGUGAAAUUGUUGAAAGGGAAGCGCUUGCAGCCAGACUUGUCCGCAGUUGCUCAGCCGGUCUCCUGACCGGCGUACUCUUCUGCGGCCAGGCCAGCAUCAGUUCGGGCGGUCGGAUAAAGACCUCGGGAAUGUAGCUCCUCUCGGGGAGUGUUAUAGCCCGGGGUGGAAUGCGGCCAGCCUGGACUGAGGAUCUCGCUUCGGCUAGGAUGCUGGCGUAAUGGCUGUAAGCGGCCCGUCUUGAAACACGGACCAAGGAGUCUAACAUCUAUGCGAGUGUUUGGGUGUCAAACCCAUGCGCGUAAUGAAAGUGAACGGAGGUGGGAACCCUCACGGGUGCACCAUCGACCGAUCCUGAUGUCUUCGGAUGGAUUUGAGUAAGAGCAUAGCUGUUGGGACCCGAAAGAUGGUGAACUAUGCCUGAAUAGGGUGAAGCCAGAGGAAACUCUGGUGGAGGCUCGCAGCGGUUCUGACGUGCAAAUCGAUCGUCAAAUUUGGGUAUAGGGGCGAAAGACUAAUCGAACCAU